AUCCUGGCUCAGAUUGAACGCUGGCGGCAUGCCUUACACAUGCAAGUCGAACGGCAGCACGGAGCUUGCUCUGGUGGCGAGUGGCGAACGGGUGAGUAAUAUAUCGGAACGUACCCAGGAGUCGGGGGAUAACGUAGCGAAAGUUACGCUAAUACCGCAUACGUCCUAAGGGAGAAAGUGGGGGAUCGCAAGACCUCAUGCUCAUGGAGCGGCCGAUAUCUGAUUAGCUAGUUGGUAGGGUAAAGGCCUACCAAGGCAUCGAUCAGUAGCUGGUCUGAGAGGACGACCAGCCACACUGGAACUGAGACACGGUCCAGACUCCUACGGGAGGCAGCAGUGGGGAAUUUUGGACAAUGGGGGCAACCCUGAUCCAGCAAUGCCGCGUGAGUGAAGAAGGCCUUCGGGUUGUAAAGCUCUUUUGUCAGGGAAGAAAAGGGAUUGGCUAAUAUCUAGUCCUCAUGACGGUACCUGAAGAAUAAGCACCGGCUAACUACGUA
This 497-nucleotide ribosomal RNA is filed under the name uncultured Oxalobacteraceae bacterium. Its description in RNAcentral is "bacterial SSU rRNA". It matches the Rfam family "Bacterial small subunit ribosomal RNA", at positions 16 to 507 of the family's 1533-position model. Lineage: Bacteria; Pseudomonadati; Pseudomonadota; Betaproteobacteria; Burkholderiales; Oxalobacteraceae. The record is from RNAcentral.